Long non-coding RNA from Hemicordylus capensis (graceful crag lizard), 468 nucleotides. RefSeq lists it as uncharacterized. The record is from RefSeq and is a predicted model, not a curated record. The transcript has 2 exons. Lineage: Eukaryota; Metazoa; Chordata; Lepidosauria; Squamata; Cordylidae.
AAAAGGUUUUCCAGAUUCUGAGCAGUGAGGGAAGAGUUUUCACCCAGGACCCCUUGUGCUGCCAGUGGCUUAAAAAAGGAGUGGCAACACUGGGCUUCCAGUGGCCCUCUUGACUGUGAAGAGAGGAGAAGAUGCCCACCUUCUGUAGCCACACCUAGGGCCUAGUGCUUGACAGGUAUGGGGAAAGACUUCUGGCCCCUGUUGAAAGCAGGCUUGACUCCUGGGGGAAGCAGUCACAUGGAUGAAAACCAGAAGCCUUCCGAAGGGGCAGUGGACAGUCUGCUCUGAGUGGAACAAGACCAGAGCAUCAGACAACAGGCUAGAUGUUUGCUGGCCCAUAGCGGGAGAGUGGCUGGUGCCCAUCAGAGUCUACUGUCAGUGCUUUUAUUUAACACCUUGGAUAUGAGUGAAAGAUCAGGGUAUUGUUGCAAAUGAUAUUGAUCCAAAAUAUUAUCUUUACCUAUGCUA